RNAcentral lists this long non-coding RNA (711 nucleotides) under Homo sapiens (human). RNAcentral's name for it is "HSALNT0408935". Lineage: Eukaryota; Metazoa; Chordata; Mammalia; Primates; Hominidae. The record is from RNAcentral.
UCACGCAUGAUAACUUGAAAAGAAAAUUGAACAGGACGAUGAAUUAGGCUUAUGCAUGAGAAGCACCCUGGUGGAUAUCAGCCAUUCACAAAUCACAGCUAUGGACAGCCUCUCCUGCAUCCAGAUGUUGAACAGGGGUGGUUCAGUCUAGGUUGUGCUAAAUAAAUAGGGAGAGCCUGACCACCAUACUACAUAAAGCGGGGGUGCUCUGACCUCAGGCAGAAGAGACUUUUUAUGAGCACGUUGGACGUGUGAAUGGGCUGCCAACAGAUGAAGUAAAAAUACUUCCAUCACUCUCCCUACCACCUCCAAGAAGCAGAUGAAAAUACUUGCAGGCCAGGGCUGAAAUCUACACAAGUGUGCUUCUACUUAAAGAAAUGAAAGUUAAUUGUAAAACAGCCACAGGCCGGUCCUUCAGGAAUUAUUCCUGAAGAAGGCACUGUUAUCAUAGGAGAUGACAGCUCCAUGCAUGUUAUUGGCCCCGAAGACCUUCCAGUGAGACAGCAUGUGGAGGUGGAAGACAGUGACGCUGAUGAUCCUGACUCUACGUAGGCUCAGGCUAAUAGGUGUAUUUGUGUCUUCGUUUUUGAUACAAAAAUGUAAGAUAUAAAAAUAUUUUAAAUAGAAAAUGCUUAUAGAAUAAAAAUAUAAAGAAAACGUUUUUGUACAUUCAUAUAUGUUUGUGUUUUAAGCCAAGUGUUAUUACAAAAC